AGAGUUUGAUCCUGGCUCAGGACGAACGCUGGCGGCGCGCCUAACACAUGCAAGUCGAACGAAAUUAUUUAUCGGAAGUUUUCGGAUGGAAGAUAAAUAGUUUAGUGGCGAACGGGUGAGUAACGCGUGAGUAAUCUGCCUUAAAGAGGGGGACAACAGUUGGAAACGACUGCUAAUACCGCAUAAGACCACACCAUGGCAUCAUGGAGUGAUUAAAGGAGCAAUCCACUUUAAGAUGAGCUCGCGUCUGAUUAGCUAGUUGGUAAGGUAAUGGCUUACCAAGGCGACGAUCAGUAGCCGGACUGAGAGGUUGAACGGCCACAUUGGGACUGAGACACGGCCCAGACUCCUACGGGAGGCAGCAGUGGGGAAUAUUGCACAAUGGGGGAAACCCUGAUGCACCGACGCCGCGUGAGGGAAAAAGGUAUUCGUAUUGUAAACCUCUGUCUUCAAGGACGAUAAUGACGGUACUUGANGAGGAAGCCACGGCUAACUACGUGCCAGCAAGCCGCGGUAAAACGUAAGUGGCAAAGCGUUUGUCCCGGGAAAUUACUGGGUGUAAAGGGGAAGCGCCAGGCCGGGCCAAUUAAAGGUUGGAUGUAUAAAUCUACGGGCUUCAACCCCGUAUUUCGCAUUUCAAAACUGGAUUGGACNUAGAUUCCCUUGGUUAGUCCCAUGCUGUAACCGAUGAUUUAUUAGGGGGGGGCAUAAAAAGUGUCCCGGUCCCCCAGUUACCGCAUUAAAGUAUCCCCCUGGGGGAGUCCGAUCCCAAAGAUUGAAACUCAAAGGGAAUUGCCGGGGGCCCGCACAAGCAGUGAAGUAUGUGGUUUAUUUCGAAGCACCGCGAAGACCCUUACCAGGUCUUGAUAUCGUAUGCAUAUCUAAGAGAUUAGAGAAGUCCUUCGGGACAUACAGACAGGUGGUGCAUGGUUGUCGUCAGCUCGUGUCGUGAGAUGUUGGGUUAAGUCCCGCAACGAGCGCAACCCUUAUCUUUAGUUACUACGUAAGAGGACUCUAGAGAGACUGCCGUUGACAAAACGGAGGAAGGUGGGGAUGACGUCAAAUCAUCAUGCCCCUUAUGACCUGGGCUACACACGUACUACAAUGGCUAUUAACAAAGUGUGCCAAAAUCGCGAGAUGGAGGAAACCACAAAAAAUAGUCUCAGUUCGGAUUGUAGGCUGCAACUCGCCUACAUGAAGCUGGAAUUGCUAGUAAUCGCGGAUCAGCAUGCCGCGGUGAAUACGUUCCCGGGCCUUGUACACACCGCCCGUCACACCAUGAGAGCCGGGGGGACCCGAAGUCGGUAGUCUAACCGUAAGGAGGACGCCGCCGAAGGUAAAACUGGUGAUUGGGGUGAAGUCGUAACAAGGUAACC
RNAcentral lists this ribosomal RNA (1376 nucleotides) under uncultured bacterium. Its description in RNAcentral is "partial 16S ribosomal RNA". It matches the Rfam family "Bacterial small subunit ribosomal RNA". The record is from RNAcentral.